Molecule: long non-coding RNA, 312 nt
Organism: Lepidothrix coronata (blue-crowned manakin)
Lineage: Eukaryota; Metazoa; Chordata; Aves; Passeriformes; Pipridae
Exons: 3
Source: RefSeq, a predicted model, not a curated record
CUCAGCUCCCUGUCUGAGGGCCAGAGGAGUGGCAUGAGGCUGAAGGAGGAAUGGUGCAGAUUUUGAGGGUGCAAUUUGGACCACCAAGAGGCUGAGCACUGAAGAUUUGCUGCAGAAUUCUUGGAUUUUAGAAAGGGGGAGAAGAAAAAGAAGACUAAGAGAUGGGCUCAAAGAAACAUGAAUAUACAGCUGAAAGAUCAGGAAGUUGCUGAGAAGCAGCAGUAUGAGCAUUUGGAGUUAACAUGGGCAGCCUUUAAUCAGGGACUCAUCAGGACAACAUACACCUCAAUCAAAGAUAAUUCCUCUGGAGGC